AGCGGUGAAGAUAAAACAAAUAAAGUGGCGGCUUGACCGUCACUGUCGUCCUGAUCAUCCGUGACGAUAGCAAGUGCCGUCUGAGCU
Small nucleolar RNA from Capsella rubella, 87 nucleotides. It matches the Rfam family "small nucleolar RNA snoR121". The record is from Rfam. Lineage: Eukaryota; Viridiplantae; Streptophyta; Magnoliopsida; Brassicales; Brassicaceae.